This 845-nucleotide ribosomal RNA is filed under the name uncultured bacterium. RNAcentral's name for it is "bacterial SSU rRNA". It matches the Rfam family "Bacterial small subunit ribosomal RNA", at positions 71 to 933 of the family's 1533-position model. The record is from RNAcentral.
UUCGGAUGGAAGCAAUAAACCUUAGCGGCGGACGGGUGAGUAACGCGUGGGUAACCUGCCUCAUACAGGGGGAUAACAGUUAGAAAUGACUGCUAAAACCGCAUAAGCGCACAUUGUCGAGUGACAGAGUGUGAAAAACUCCGGUGGUAUGAGAUGGACCCGCGUCUGAUUAGCUAGUUGGUGAGGUAACGGCCCACCAAGGCGACGAUCAGUAGCCGGCCUGAGAGGGCGACCGGCCACAUUGGGACUGAGACACGGCCCAAACUCCUACGGGAGGCAGCAGUGGGGAAUAUUGCACAAUGGGGGAAACCCUGAUGCAGCGACGCCGCGUGAGUGAAGAAGUAUUUCGGUAUGUAAAGCUCUAUCAGCAGGGAAGAAGAAAGACGGUACCUGACUAAGAAGCCCCGGCUAACUACGUGCCAGCAGCCGCGGUAAUACGUAGGGGGCAAGCGUUAUCCGGAUUUACUGGGUGUAAAGGGAGCGUAGACGGCUGUGCAAGUCUGAAGUGAAAGCCCAGGGCUCAACCCUGGGACUGCUUUGGAAACUGUGGAGCUAGAGUGCUGGAGAGGUAAGUGGAAUUCCUAGUGUAGCGGUGAAAUGCGUAGAUGUUAGGAGGAACACCAGUGGCGAAGGCGGCUUACUGGACAGUAACUGACGUUGAGGCUCGAAAGCGUGGGGAGCAAACAGGAUUAGAUACCCUGGUAGUCCACGCGGUAAACGAUGAAUACUAGGUGUUGGAGAGCAAAGCUUUUCGGUGCCGUCGCAAACGCAAUAAGUAUUCCACCUGGGGAGUACGUUCGCAAGAAUGAAACUCAAAGGAAUUGACGGGGACCCGCACAAGCGGU